AGGACUAACGCUGGCGGCGUGCCUAACACAUGCAAGUCGAACGAGAGUAGCAAUACUCUAGUGGCAGACGGGUGAGUAACACGUGGUCAACCUACCUCUUAGUGGGGGAUAACUAGCCGAAAGGUUAGCUAAUACCGCAUUCGAUCUUCGAUCGGCAUCGAUUGAAGAUGAAAGGCGCAAGUCGCUAAGAGACGGGACCGCGUCCCAUUAGCUAGUUGGUAGGGUAAUGGCCUACCAAGGCGACGAUGGGUAGCUGGCUUGAGAGAGCGACCAGCCACACUGGGACUGAGACACGGCCCAGACUCCUACGGGAGGCAGCAGUGAGGAAUUUUCCGCAAUGGGCGAAAGCCUGACGGAGCGACGCCGCGUGUGGGAAGAAGGCCUUCGGGUCGUAAACCACUGUCGAAGGGGAGGAUAUUGACGGUACCUUGGAGGAAGCCCCGGCUAACUACGUGCCAGCAGCCGC
This 466-nucleotide ribosomal RNA is filed under the name uncultured bacterium. RNAcentral's name for it is "SSU rRNA". It matches the Rfam family "Bacterial small subunit ribosomal RNA", at positions 26 to 518 of the family's 1533-position model. The record is from RNAcentral.